CUUAAAUAUAUAUGUUAUAUAUAUACUAUUCAUAAAAUAAUUUAUACAAAUUAAAUUACUAAUUUAAUCAUUAUAUUAUAACUAAUAUUAUUAAAAUUAUUUUUUUUUUAAAAUCAAUAUAUAUAAUUAAUUUUACUAUAAUUAAAAAUUUAUUAAUAAAUUAUUAAAUACUCAUUAAAUUCUUUUAAAUUUUAAAAUUAAUCUUUUUAAUUUUAAUUUAAAUUAUUAUAUAAAUUUAAUUUAUAGAUUAUCCCAUAAAUUAUUUAUAUUUUCUAAAAUAAACUUUUUUAUUUAAAUUUACUUUAAAAAAUAUAUAAAUUAAAUUUAAUUCAAAAAUAACUAGAUAUCAUUAAAAUUGAAUAACAUCUAAUCUCUAAAUAUAUAUUUAUAAUUUUUAUUCAACAAAAAAAAUUUUAUAUAUUUAACUCUUUUAAUUUCGAGAUAUUUAAUUUAUUAAAAAUUUUUAAAUUAACCCUGAUACAAAAGGUACAAAAUUUUACUUUAAUUUAUAAAAUUUUAAAAUUUCAUUUACAUUACUUAUAUAUAUAAAUAUAUUUAUUAUUUCUUAAAAUAUUACUUUAACAUAAAAUUUUUAUAAAAACUUUUUAUAAUAUACUAAUUAAAACAAUAAAAAAAUUUUAUUUAAUUAAUUA
RNAcentral lists this ribosomal RNA (653 nucleotides) under Osmia lignaria (orchard mason bee). RNAcentral describes it as "partial 16S ribosomal RNA". The record is from RNAcentral. Lineage: Eukaryota; Metazoa; Arthropoda; Insecta; Hymenoptera; Megachilidae.